This 72-nucleotide transfer RNA is filed under the name Camelus bactrianus (Bactrian camel). It matches the Rfam family "tRNA". Rfam says of the family: Transfer RNA (tRNA) molecules are approximately 80 nucleotides in length. Their secondary structure includes four short double-helical elements and three loops (D, anti-codon, and T loops). Lineage: Eukaryota; Metazoa; Chordata; Mammalia; Artiodactyla; Camelidae. RNAcentral also lists the same sequence under 2 other names. The record is from Rfam by way of RNAcentral.
GAGAGUAUAGCUCAGUGGUAGAGUGUGUGCCUAGCAUGCAUGAGAUCUUGGGUUCAAUCGCCAGUACCUCCA